CUGCUGGGGACAAACGAGAUGCACAUGGGCGUCGAUGCCGCCCGCGGUGAGGAUGAGAUGCUCGCCGGAGAUGGCGUCCGUGGCGUUGCCCACCACGAGAUUCGGAUCCACAUGGUCCAUGACGGCGGGAUUGCCUGCCUUGCCGAUGCCCACGAUGCGGCCGUCGCGGAUGCCCACGUCGGCCUUGAUCACGCCCUGCACGGCGUCGACGAUGGUGGCGUUCGUGAUGACGAGAUCAAGCACGCCGUUGUCGCGCACGGAUUUCGCGUCGCCGCCCAUGCCGGCGCG
This 288-nucleotide small RNA is filed under the name uncultured Mailhella sp. RNAcentral's name for it is "5' ureB small RNA". It matches the Rfam family "5' ureB small RNA". Lineage: Bacteria; Pseudomonadati; Thermodesulfobacteriota; Desulfovibrionia; Desulfovibrionales; Desulfovibrionaceae. The record is from RNAcentral.